Molecule: unclassified non-coding RNA, 1316 nt
Filed under: Leishmania donovani
Lineage: Eukaryota; Euglenozoa; Kinetoplastea; Trypanosomatida; Trypanosomatidae
Description: gene:LdHU3.29.4200(CDS-product:hypothetical_prote in_conserved)
Source: RNAcentral
AACAUGCACGCAAACUCACAACAAACUGCAAGCAUGCCAAAAAAAAAACUCUGUAAAAGCCCACCGUCUCUGUGAGUCACUGUACCGUUGCCGCACUGUUCUCCCUUUCCACCGUCGCUAGUCGGCUUUGAGUGCAGUGAGUCGCCGCUGCCCGCACCAUCGGCACGGGGAACCUUUACGAGUUGCCCGGGCCACGCUUUACUAGAGUGCUUGUGCUGACUAGAGAAAAAAAGCCAAUGAAGCCACAUGGACUCGCUGUGGUGCCAUCCAUUGUGCAACCCUCGCCGUUCCUCACUCGCGCCAUCUGCGCCCUUUACUGGAAAGACACUUUUCUCGGCAGCUGCGUGGCCAUCGCCCCGUCCAUUGUGAUGACUGCGGGUCAUCACUACAACGCCGUCCGCGACGAUGUCGGCGACUUCAGCGUUUUGACACGGCCCGGGCACUGGACGGCGGUCGAGUACGCGUCAAAGGAUAGCACAUAUGACGUUGUGGUGUUCUGGCUCUGCGAGGAAGUGACGACGCACACCUCGCUGCGAGGGUAUCUGCCCGCGGUGGGGGCACAGGUGGCGACUGUAUGGUUGUCCCCUAAGCCACCACACGACGCGAUUGUGUCGCCAGGCGUCGUGAUGGAGAGCGAGGCAGAGAAGUGCGUGGCGCGCGGCACUGUGAGCAUGACCGGAUCGAGCGGCGCACCUGUGGUGGACGUCUUUGGUGAGCACAUUGUCGGUCUCCAUCUCACGUCCAACACGCGUGACGGCUCACGUGUGUCUGGGUUCAUACCGUCACGCAAGCUGGUCUCUCUUUUCGCCGAGAUGUGGGUCGAGCACGCCCGUGUCUUGUCGUCCGCAUAGGUACCGGCAGCUCCGACCCCCCGUUGGAUGCCGCGCGACCUCUUUUUUUUUCAGCUUCUUCACCGUGAUGCUGGGAGGCUGCUCCGAGAGCUUGUGCUGCGUCUUUGCAGCUCCACUGUGGAAUAUGCGCGUCUGCGUGUGUACAUGUGCGCGCUUUGUUCUCGGCGCUCCUGCGCCCUUCGCGCCAUUUGUGAACACGGAAGAAAGCAGCUCGCGAGACUACGCAUGGCCGUUUCGUGGUACGCACUCGCACCGGCAGCAGCAUCCUUUCUGAUUGAAGCUUUUCGCCGUCAAAACAAGCACGAGGACGAACAUAUCCGCGUCUUCUGUGAUUGCCCCUUCCCCCCCCCUCCACCGCCACCACCCUCCUUUCCCCAUUCGCACAUGAUCUCUGCUGUUCCGCUUUUCGUUCAUAUCCUGGCACUCUGCCGGCCACGGCAACUCGGCGACCAUCGUCACAACCAG